AAUCCGUGAUGAGGGCAUUUGGUUUGAUAACCCUUAAAGCGCUCCCAAGCUUCACAAAAGCUUUUAUUUUGCUUUUGAGUGCACUACAAGAAAUAUUGGUAUUGAUAGC
This 109-nucleotide small nucleolar RNA is filed under the name Arabidopsis thaliana (thale cress). RNAcentral's name for it is "Plant small nucleolar RNA R71". It matches the Rfam family "Plant small nucleolar RNA R71". Rfam says of the family: R71 is a member of the C/D box family of snoRNAs containing the C (UGAUGA) and D (CUGA) box motifs. Multiple nearly identical copies of this snoRNA have been identified in Arabidopsis, and it is thought to function as a 2'-O-ribose methylation guide for 18S ribosomal RNA. The record is from Rfam by way of RNAcentral. Lineage: Eukaryota; Viridiplantae; Streptophyta; Magnoliopsida; Brassicales; Brassicaceae.